Molecule: ribosomal RNA, 497 nt
Filed under: uncultured bacterium
Lineage: Bacteria
Description: partial 16S ribosomal RNA
Rfam family: Bacterial small subunit ribosomal RNA
Source: RNAcentral
GAUGAACGCUGGCGGCGUGCCUAAUACAUGCAAGUCGAGCGAACAGAUGAGGAGCUUGCUCCUCUGACGUUAGCGGCGGACGGGUGAGUAACACGUGGAUAACCUACCUAUAAGACUGGGAUAACUUCGGGAAACCGGAGCUAAUACCGGAUAAUAUAUUGAACCGCAUGGUUCAAUAGUGAAAGACGGUUUUGCCGUCACUUAUAGAUGGAUCCGCGCCGCAUUAGCUAGUUGGUAAGGUAACGGCUUACCAAGGCAACGAUGCGUAGCCGACCUGAGAGGGUGAUCGGCCACACUGGAACUGAGACACGGUCCAGACUCCUACGGGAGGCAGCAGUAGGGAAUCUUCCGCAAUGGGCGAAAGCCUGACGGAGCAACGCCGCGUGAGUGAUGAAGGUCUUCGGAUCGUAAAACUCUGUUAUUAGGGAAGAACAAAUGUGUAAGUAACUAUGCACGUCUUGACGGUACCUAAUCAGAAAGCCACGGCUAACUACGUG